Non-coding RNA from Triticum urartu, 135 nucleotides. Lineage: Eukaryota; Viridiplantae; Streptophyta; Magnoliopsida; Poales; Poaceae. The record is from Rfam.
CAUGUACUCCCUCCGUCUGGAAAUAUUUAUCAUCAAAAUAAAUAAAAGGGGAUGUAUGUAGAUGUAUUUUAGUUCUAAAUACAUUCCUUUUUAUCAAUUUUGAUGACAAGUAUUUUCGGACGGAAUGAGUUUAAU